Long non-coding RNA from Bradysia coprophila, 371 nucleotides. The record is from RefSeq and is a predicted model, not a curated record. NCBI's taxonomy places the organism in Eukaryota, Metazoa, Arthropoda, Insecta, Diptera, Sciaridae.
CGAUUGCAUUGGAGUAUACACUGAAAAUAUUCAAUUAUUUCUUUACGGCUGUUUUCAUAUUGGAAGCUAUCAUGAAGCUAAUUGCACUUGGAUUCAAAAUUUAUAUGAAAGAAAAAUGGAAUCAGCUCGAUGUGGGUAUUGUAAUAUUGUCUGUGGUCGGAAUUGUGUUGGAAGAACUGGAAACCAACAUCAUACCAAUAAAUCCAACAAUCAUUCGAGUGAUGCGCGUCAUGCGAAUCGCUAGAGUCCUCAAACUACUGAAAAUGGCCAAGGGUAUACGGGCUUUGCUGGAUACGGUGAUGCAAGCCCUUCCACAAGUCGGAAAUCUUGGUUUACUAUUUUUCCUAUUGUUUUUUAUAUUUGCCGCACUG